CGAACCCCUAAGUAAAGACUCCCGAGCCGCAGAGCCGUCUGAGGGAAGCUUGCACUUCUAAGACCCCCCAGGCGCCCUGGCUGCCGUCCCAGGCCCCGAGGCCGAGGGACCGGCUCCUGGUAGAGGCCCAGCCCUGGAGCGGCGGGGAGCACCCCGUGUCUCCCGGGCCGAGACGCCCGCGCUCCACCAAGGCGUGCGAGUGAAGCCCCGCGGUCACCCUUUGCUGAGGAGACGUGGGACAAGUUCAGUGGUGCCACUGAGGCCAGGAAUGCACCUCAGAAAGCCAGGUGUUCUCACGCCUCUAACCCCAGCUGCUCGGGAGGCUGAGUCAGGAAGAUCAAGAGUUAAAAGCCAGCCCCAGCAACCGCGGGGCACUUAGCAGCUCAGUGAGACCCUGUCUCUAAAUAAAAUACAAAAUAGUGCUGGGGAUGUGGCGCAGUGGUCGAGGGUCCCUGAGUUCAAUCCCUGGUACCCCCCCCCCCAAAAAAAAAAAAAGAAAAAAGAAAAUAGAUCUCCUCACAGCAUUCUUUCAGCUGGGAAAGGGUGCACGAUCCGAAUGGAGUCAAUAAAGUGGGGAGCUGGAGAACUGACCCCACUUCGCAGGGCAGAAGCUCACUUGGUGGAGCUUGCAACAGGCACCGGAUCCCUCCCCAGCACCUCAAAAACAAGCACACUGAAUCAGCCUUUGGAGCCUGAAGUCCUCCUUAGGGGUGUAGGGGAGGAGAAAAACUUUUCCUGUUCUCCAGUGGGACCCCUUAACAAAGCAUACACCAAGAGAAAAGCAGAUCAACUGUAUAUCUCAUGUAUAUAUGGGGGAAACUUGGAGAAGAGUGACUUAGGAAGGGUUUAGAAUUAGCCUUCUAUAGCAUCUUUGUCAAAAAAAAAAAAAUAGAGAAGUGGAGAAGGACAGAGGAAAACAGUUUUAGGUUUCCAAAGGUGACAAACUGGGAAAGCAAAAAUUCAGGAGACUAAAGGUAGACACAGUUCAGCUAGUGAACUUUGCUAUGUCUCUUACCAUCUCUGGCUUGGUAAGAGUCUAAAGGUGUCUUUGGUGAUUAACCUUUGUCUUUGGUAGAUAGCGGGAGGGACACCUUUGGAACUUUAUGUCCUGUUUUUAGGUGAACGAUGGGAGGGCAGGGGACUUUUCUUGUAUGAGCUUCUCAUUUGCCUUCAACUCAACCCUUUUGUCAGAGUGGCAUGUUUUGGGGUGACAUUCUGGUUUAUUUCAGGACAAAAGAGGUAUUUUGAAUUUCUCAUUGUGAACUCCUUAUUGACAUACUGGAUUAUACACUUGUUCCUUGUGAGUUUAAUGAGCUGAGAAAAGGGUGAAGUCUGGGACAUUGCUGACACUAUUCAUUCAGCACAGAGGGUUGCCAAGUCCCUGGUGUUAAAUUGGGGAACUCUUGUAUUUUAGCUUUGUGCCUAGUAAUAUACAAAUUAAAGUUAUGACAUAGAAAUGAGUUUAAAUCAUUAAAUUCAGAUGCACUUCUUCUGAAUUGCACCUUGAUAUCAAUUCAGCAGUGGCAACUGUGGGGGAAAAAUUACUUUCUUCCUUUCUGAGUUCAUGGCUUUGUGUUUUAUGAGAAAAGGAAGACCUGAAGAAGUGUUUAAGUCUGAGUGUUUUUAUGCUUAGGUUUUUGUAUUUGAAAUGUGUGGUGCUAGGGAUUGAACCCAGAGCCUCAUGAAUGCUAGGCAAGCGUUCUACCACUGAGCUACAUUCCCUCACCUUUAACAUUUAACCUAUCAAAAAUAUUAUAAUUUGGAAGAAACAAUUUUAAAAUUGUUAAUGGGAUAUUCUACUUUUUUUUUUUUUCCCUGCAGUGCUGAGGAUCGAAUCCAGUGCCUCACACAUGCUAGGCAGGUGCUCUGCUGCUGAGCCACAGCCCCAAUCCUAUUUUACUUUUUUAUUGUCUUUGAAAUCUUGCAUGUAUUUUAUACUUACAACACUUCACAUUUCAGAUUGUGGUCAUGUUCUAGUUUCAAUAGCCACAAGUAGUUAGUGCCUAUUGGACAGCAUAGGAGAAAUUGGGUUCUCACAGGACUAUAUGUCAAUCAAUUCAAUAUUUAACCUGUAGGAAGUAAGAUUUUUUUGCUCAAAGGCAUUUUGAAAGAUCUUUUGACAUUCCGGGAAACCAAAAGAUCAGAUCAAGAACCCCCACCUGAACCUAUUGUUUUAGGUAGCCUGUAGUUAGCCCCAUGACUCUGAUAGAAAUGAGUUUGGGUCAGAGAACUAAAUGGAAAUAAAAUAUCAGGAUUCCAGCCUGAAAGAGCCAGUAGCAGUUCAAGGCUUAAGGCAUUUCCAGAGACCAGAACCAGAGGUGGCCUGGACUGAGUAACCAUGAAAACUCUCCAUGUCAGAGCUGGGAGCAUUUUCAACUUAUUCCUAGCGGGAGUCAAUCAUUUCUAAGUUACAGUGGUUGCUGUAUUUUCCAUUUCUCCUUUUUCCCAAUGGGGUCUUCAUUGCAAUUGCAGUUGUUCUGUUCUUGUUCUACCAUUGUACUCUGGAGUACUUGGUCAUAAUUCAGUGGACUGGGAGGAGCUGCAUUCAGACCCAAUAAAAACGGCUGAGCCACCCCAAAGAUCCUGCACUUUCAAGCCCUGUGCCUAGUUGCCUCUCUUGGGAAGGAAAUAUCUGUACAUUCUCUGUGAAGAGGUUGGGUGCAUAUUUGGUGGCCAGGGUCACAUUUUGAUUGUCAUUUGCCCACCUAAUCUUCCUUCACAGGAUGUUAGGGUGUGGCCACCCAGGUGGGAACUCAAGUUCCCAGUUUUUCUUGCUUCUAGGAGUGACUCUUUGCCAAUGUUCUCACCAGUGGAAUGUGAACAGAAAUGAUGUGGGCGGCCUCCUCCCACUUGUUAAGAUGAAACAUUUGUCCCAGGACUUCUCUGAUCAUUUCCUGCUGGCUUGGGUGGUAACUAGAACAGCCUUGGAAGCCCUAAAUAUUAGUGACCAAAAGGUCAUGAAUAUGUACUUUUAUAUGAAUGAGACACAAACUUCUAUUUUAAUCAAGACAUUGUAUUUUGGGGUCUUUAAAAAAAAAGUAACUUGAAGUCCUGAGAGCAUGCUUCUGGUAUUCCAUGUGGGAAAAUUUUCUUAGUUUAUCCGUCGUUUCUGUACAGCACGUUUUCCAGUUGCUUUCAUCAAAAGUGUGCUUGAGAGGUAAAUAUUUUGGGAGCUGAAUUUCUUUGCAUUUGACUGUAUCCUUUGUGACCUAUGAGAUCUUUUUGUGACCUAUGAGUGCUGUUGUGUGGAUCUUUUCAACUACUGUUUUGGGCACUCAAACCUUUCAAUUUGGAAACUUAUAUUCUUCAUUUCUAGGAAUAAGAAUAUGAUUCCCUCUCCCUGCAUCUUCUCUAUUUUUAGUGGAACUGUUAAUAUUCAGAUUUUGGAUUUCCUUGCUUGGUACUCUAAUUUCUUACAUUUCCUCCCCUAGCUCCCAUCUGUUUGUCUUUUUGAUUUAUUUUUUGGGAAAUUCCUCACAUCUAUUUUUCUUCAACUGAGUUUUAAUUUUGUUAUUCUUUUCCCCCCCGAAUAUUUCUUUAAUAUAUAUAUAUUUUUUUAAUGCUGGGGAUUGAACCCACGGCCUCACACAUGCUAGGCAGGUAUUCUAUCACUGAGCUGCAUCACUAAUGCUUUUUAUUUUGAGUCAGGGUCUCACUAAGGUGCUGAUGCUGUCCUGGACCUUUUAAUUCUCCGGUCUCAGUCUCUGGAGCAGCUGGGAUUAUAGGCAUGCACCACUGUGCCCACCUUUUCUGCUGCUCAUUUACCCUUUUUGCUGCUUCUAAAAUCUUGUUGGUGUGGAAAACUCAUCUUUAAUGGGUUUAUGCUUGAAAACAAAAACUAUUUGUGCUUCCAACAGUUUCAGAAGGAAGCAAUUGCAAUGCACCUGUUCAGUUUUUCCCUAGGGAUUAUUCGAUUUCUGUUCAUUUUUCUGUCAGCACUAACCACCAUGAUUGCUCUCCUGAUCCCCCAAGGUCUGCCAACUACUCUUCCUAUUUCCAGGGUUGCCCUUUCCUUGGCAACUUUGUUACACUGAAGCGGAAUGAACUUUCUACAGAGCAAGUGGUAUAAUUUUUUCAUCCUCCUUUAAACCCUUUAACUCCCUGUUGCCCUCUAAAGACUGUAAAACAGCAACUAACUUCUGUCUACUUUUUAAUCCUCAUCCCCCAACUCUCUCCCAUUAGCUCCCUGGGCUCUAGCCAUAGUUUUACCUCUGUUUCUCUUAACAUUCAAAUGUGGCAUCUCAGUGUUUCCUACAUAUUGUUCCUUUAUGUAAAUUUGUUCCUUACUGUUUCCUCCAAUCCUUCCAUCCCUAAGUUUUUUUCAAUUAACUUCUAUCCUUUGUCUUUCAGGUCUCAACUUUAAUUUUUCUUCUUCAGGGAAGUGUGUCAUGUCACUCUAGACUAGGUAGGUCCUUUGUUGAUGGUCUGGUGUGCAAGAUACUUGCUAUCUCUCCAUGGAAAGGUUCUAUCUCCUUAUCUAAUGAUGUCAGUGUUCUAUGUAACACACGUUAGGAAAUUCUGCAUUAUAUUAUUCAUUACCCUUUAGUUAUUGUUAUUAUGCAUUUAGUUGCCUGUCUUAACCAGACUAAGUUCCCCAAAGGGUAUAUUUUACAUACCAUCGUACCCCUAGUGUUUAGUAUACUGCCUUGCCC
RNAcentral lists this long non-coding RNA (4652 nucleotides) under Marmota monax (woodchuck). The record is from RNAcentral. Lineage: Eukaryota; Metazoa; Chordata; Mammalia; Rodentia; Sciuridae.